Molecule: long non-coding RNA, 570 nt
Filed under: Anas platyrhynchos platyrhynchos (common mallard)
Lineage: Eukaryota; Metazoa; Chordata; Aves; Anseriformes; Anatidae
Description: lncRNA (ENSAPLG00000029531.1)
Source: RNAcentral
AGCAGCGUGGGGAGGCACAUUCCCACCCGCACCAGGCAGAGGAGCAUUAGAAGGCUCUCAGCCAGCCUAGGAGUCCUGUGCAGCACGAGGAGGCUGGGCUAUAAAAAGACACUCACUUGGAGAGGAGUGGGAGAGCUGUGCCCUUGUGGGAAGGAGGAUUGUGCAGACGGGGGCCCUGCAGUGGUGUGUGGGGUGCAGCAGGAUCCCGAGGUUAACAGGGAGCUGGAGCUCUUCUCAGAAGGCAGUUCCUGCCGCUCUGAGGACAUCCUGCUGCUUGUGAGAGAGCAGGCCGGGCACACCUCUGCACCAUGCAAUGCAGCAUCAUGUGUGAGACCUCUCUACUACCCCUAAAGGAACCGUUUUCCAGACCAGCCAGGGAAGGCACUGCACACAAUAGCUUGGAGGAAUAAUAGAAGGCUCAGAGAAGACGUCAAACUCUGGUAAGAUACUGGGAUGCAGAUGCAUUUGGGAAGGCUACAGCAAUUACAGUGCCUGAGUUAACCCAGUGCUGACUGUCAACAGAAAGUCCCUACUUUGUUUCUAGGGAAAACUUGAGAUCAUCUUGUAUUU